RNAcentral lists this ribosomal RNA (467 nucleotides) under uncultured bacterium. Its description in RNAcentral is "partial 16S ribosomal RNA". It matches the Rfam family "Bacterial small subunit ribosomal RNA", at positions 28 to 507 of the family's 1533-position model. The record is from RNAcentral.
GAUGAACGCUGGCGGCGUGCUUAACACAUGCAAGUCGAACGGAAAGGCCCAAGCUUGCUUGGGUACUCGAGUGGCGAACGGGUGAGUAACACGUGGGUGAUCUGCCCUGCACUUCGGGAUAAGCCUGGGAAACUGGGUCUAAUACCGGAUAGGACCACUUCUUGGAUGUUGUGGUGGAAAGUUUUUUCGGUGUGGGAUGAGCUCGCGGCCUAUCAGCUUGUUGGUGGGGUAAUGGCCUACCAAGGCGUCGACGGGUAGCCGGCCUGAGAGGGUGUACGGCCAACAUUGGACUGAGAAACGGCCCCGACCCCCACCGGAGGGAGCCGGGGGGAAUAUUGCAAAAUUGGCCCAAGCCUGAUGCCGCGACGCCGGGUGGGGGAUGACGGCCUUCGGGUUGUAAACUCCUUUCGCUAGGGACGAAGCGUUUUGUGACGGUACCUGGAGAAGAAGCACCGGCUAACUACGUG